GACGAACGCUGGCGGCGUGCCUAAUACAUGCAAGUUGAGCGCUGAAGGUUGGUACUUGUACCAACUGGAUGAGCAGCGAACGGGUGAGUAACGCGUGGGGAAUCUGCCUUUGAGCGGGGGACAACAUUUGGAAACGAAUGCUAAUACCGCAUAAAAACUUUAAACACAAGUUUUAAGUUUGAAAGAUGCAAUUGCAUCACUCAAAGAUGAUCCCGCGUUGUAUUAGCUAGUUGGUGAGGUAAAGGCUCACCAAGGCGAUGAUACAUAGCCGACCUGAGAGGGUGAUCGGCCACAUUGGGACUGAGACACGGCCCAAACUCCUACGGGAGGCAGCAGUAGGGAAUCUUCGGCAAGGGAAGAAAGUCUGACCGAGCAACGCCGCGUGAGUGAAGAAGGUUUUCGGAUCGUAAAACUCUGUUGGUAGAGAAGAACGUUGGUGAGAGUGGAAAGCUCAUCAAGUGACGGUAACUACACAGAAAGGGACGGCUAACUACGUG
This 497-nucleotide ribosomal RNA is filed under the name uncultured bacterium. Its description in RNAcentral is "partial 16S ribosomal RNA". It matches the Rfam family "Bacterial small subunit ribosomal RNA", at positions 28 to 507 of the family's 1533-position model. The record is from RNAcentral.